CGAAAGCCUGACGGAGCAACGCCGCGUGGGGGAAGAAGGUUCUUGGAUUGUAAACCCCUUUUCUCAGGGAAGAAGUUCUGACGGUACCUGAGGAAUCAGCCUCGGCUAACUCCGUGCCAGCAGCCGCGGUAAUACGGAGGAGGCAAGCGUUAUCCGGAAUUACUGGGCGUAAAGCGUUCGUAGGGGGCUCGUCAAGUCUGCUGUCAAAGCUCGGAGCUAAACUCCGGUAGAGCAGUGGAAACUGGUGCGCUAGAGGGCGACGGGGGUAGAGGGAAUUCCCAGUGUAGCGGUGAAAUGCGUAGAGAUUGGGAAGAACACCGGUGGCGAAAGCGCUCUACUGGGUCGCACCUGACCCUCAGGGACGAAAGCUAAGGUAGCG
This 379-nucleotide ribosomal RNA is filed under the name uncultured cyanobacterium. RNAcentral describes it as "bacterial SSU rRNA". It matches the Rfam family "Bacterial small subunit ribosomal RNA", at positions 376 to 770 of the family's 1533-position model. Lineage: Bacteria; Bacillati; Cyanobacteriota. The record is from RNAcentral.